AGUAACGCGUGAGGAACCUGCCUCAAAGAGGGGACAACAGUUGGAAACGACUGCUAAUACCGCAUAAGCCCACGGUGCCGCAUGGCACAGAGGGAAAAGGAGCAAUCCGCUUUGAGAUGGCCUCGCGUCCGAUUAGCUAGUUGGUGAGGUAAUGGCCCACCAAGGCGACGAUCGGUAGCCGGACUGAGAGGUUGAACGGCCACAUUGGGACUGAGACACGGCCCAG
Molecule: ribosomal RNA, 226 nt
Filed under: uncultured bacterium
Lineage: Bacteria
Description: partial 16S ribosomal RNA
Rfam family: Bacterial small subunit ribosomal RNA
Source: RNAcentral